Long non-coding RNA from Chenopodium quinoa (quinoa), 817 nucleotides. RefSeq lists it as uncharacterized. The record is from RefSeq and is a predicted model, not a curated record. The transcript has 3 exons. Lineage: Eukaryota; Viridiplantae; Streptophyta; Magnoliopsida; Caryophyllales; Amaranthaceae.
UGUAACAUCUUUUUUUUUUUUUGUUGUUUAUAAUUUUAAUUGUAUAAGUUGGUUAAUUUGGGGUUGAACUUAAUAACCAACAACGUAAGUUUGAAAUAAAUCUUUUAACCCGUCACAUAUGAAGUUUGUGGUUUUUUUUUUUUUUUUUUUUUUUUUGGUCUUUUUGUGUUUUUUUUUUCUGUAAAAAAUCACCCAAAAUAAAUAUUCUUGUAUGAGAGGUUUUAAAAUAAAAAACAUUCUUGGGUAAGACCAACCAAAUAAAAUUACUCUUGUGAACCCGUAAAAAAAAAAAUUACUCUUGUGAAACGUCACUUGACUCAUAUUUUCGACGUUGACCUUAACACGUGACUUGCACGUGAUGUUUAAUGAGCACCCCCACCCGACCCCUUUUUUUUUUCCUUCGGUUAUUUCUUGGGUUCCCUCUCUUCUCCUCUGUUCUCUCUUCCUGUUUACCUCUUGUUCUCACUUGAAUAACUUGGUGAAUUUCCUCUUUUCUCUCUCCUGUUCUCGCCUCUUUCUUUUGUUUGGGAACAAGCUUGUUGCAUUUGCCCCAAAUUUCCCUCGUUAGGGUUUACUGUGAAGUACGAUGUCAGGUCGUCGCAGAGGUGGUGGACGAGGCGGUCGAAAAGGUGGUCGAAGCGUUUUAGAAAAGCUGAGGCUAUUUUACUUGGAUUUCAGCGUUUCUUGAUGGGCUUAGAGAUCCAUUGGACAAUAAUGAAACUCAUUCCUACCUAUUUGGUUAUGCUGUUGCUGAUUUGCUUUAUAAUUGGAAUAAUUGCUGGAAUUUAUUGUUGGAGUUAUUUAUUCCCCAUAGUAA